CAUUAGUCCAGUCUUCUCAUGGCUAAAUAAUAUUGUGAAAUUUCUCUCCCUGGAGAUAUUUUUAAAUGUCUUUUACAAUCACAGGAAGUCAGAGCUGAAAGAGAAUUGAGAACUGUGUGAGACUAUCAAUCUCAUUUUACAGAUGAGAGUUCCAAGACCCUGAAGAAGCAAGUGACUGGAUCACACAGAUAGUGGUGUGAUAAGAUCCUGGGUGUCCAGAUUCCCCAAGCCGGGGGGUCUUUGCUUGUCUAAACAAGCCUUCUUCUCACUGCCAAUUUUGCUUCAUAAUUGUUACCCAAAGACAGCCAGGAACUUCUCUUAGAAUCCGUGAAUGUGCUUGUCAUGCAACAUUAAUCCAUGCCAGCAUUUAAGGUAACAUUGAAAUAGCCCAAAUGUACCUUGGGCAAGUGCCAUGAAUCCCAAUGGGGGUGGGCUGGGAGAAGUAGUUAUGUUAAUAAAACCUUUCCACAUCAAAAGUGUGAGUCAGAUUCAAUAUACGAAUCCCACCAAGAAGUUAAACACAGAGGGAGUUUAAUUUUAGUUCAAACAGAUCGGCCGUUCACAUCUCCCUUCAGAAAUAAAGGAGGUGGAAGUUGUUACGUCUUUCAAAUUAGAUUGACUGCUAAAAAUGGGAAAAUAGGCCCUGGCCGGGUAGCUCAGUUGAGGAGAGAGAGCAUCACCCUGAUAUGGCAAGGUUGCAGGUUUGAUCCCAGAUCAGGGCACAUACAAGAGUCAACCAAUGGAUGCAUAAAUACUAGUAAGUGGGACAACAGAAAUUGAUGUUUUUUCCCCCCUCUCUCUCUCAAAUCAAUAAAAAUAAUAAAAAUAGGAAAACAUCUGAAGGAGGGUCAUUUUCCUUGUGGACUGCUGUCCUGUGUACCAUCUAUUUCUAGCGAAGCUUGGACUUUCAGUCCAAUAGAGGAGGAAGUGAAGAGUGUGCCUUUUCUCCCCUUUGUCUUGGCUGCAUUCAGUAAAUUCCAUGCAGACCCCUUAACCCUGAGGGUGCGCCUGCCUCAGGCUCUUUCCUGAGCCCUGUUGCUCUGGGCUGGUCCACAGCUAGGCAAGGGCGGCUAUGGUUGUGGAGCUAUCAGAGCUUCUGUGAUGGUGUACAAAUCUUUUCUUAAGGAGAAGAGAAAGCAAAGGAGCCAGCCGUGCUCCUGCUCCUUGGAGCUCCCCUUCUUCUGCUCAUGUUUGUCUAGGAAGGCCUAAUGCAAGAAAAGAGGCUCAAAGAUGUGCCUUGUGGAUUUCAGAAAUUAUUUUUCCCACCACACUCUCAACCUGCUCCUGUCCCCAGUGUAUUUUCCCACCCCUCCCUCUGCUCCUUAAGUUCCCAAGCAAAGGAGUUUUGGGGUGAAUGAGGAAGAUGGAGAAAGUGCUGUUUCACCCUGAGUUUGUGUCUGAUGACUGGAAGGACCCAGGACCCUGACAGAGCCUUAUGGGAGAGAGCACCUGCCCUUCCCAAGAAGUUCCAGUAAUGGGGAGAUGCUAAUCACCUGUCUGGUGGCCUCCAGUGCAAAGCAGUGCCUGAGCUGGGGCCUCUUUGCUGCCUCCUGGAUGCCAGUGCCACUCCUAGGGGACCAUGGCAGUGGGAUGAAGCUGCAUCUGAGCUAAGAUGGUGGUUCUGCCCUCUUUGGACAAGCCCUUGCCCAUAAGAAGCAUUCAUGUGUUGAUUUGCAAAGCACUUCCGAGCUCCUCUUUGGGGAUUUUUUGUCUGAAGGGGAUCUCCAUUCCUGGAAUUCACUGAAAGCUCUCCCUGACAUGCCCUCUGCAACUCAUCACGCUAAUGGGAAGGGAGGGCUGGAGGCCCCACUGUGUCGGGAUGGCUGUAUUGAUUGCAGUGUCUGGAGGAAGGUUAUGGCAAUGGAUGGGGAUUCACUGAUAGUGGAGGAAUAAAGCUCUGGCCAUGGAGUCUGUCUUUUUAACUGGGCUGCUAGCCAGGGCUUCCUUGCCAGUUCCCUACUCCCCUCCAGUCCAUCACGCACACCCAACUAGAUCUGGCUUCCCUGAACACCACUUAGUCAAACUUCACAAUUGCUUAGAAACCCUUAAUGGAUCCUUUUGGCCUGGACUCAAGGCCCUGCACAAUCAGGUUCACAUCCACAAACAGUUGCUUUUACAACCGUCACUGAUCAUACCCUCUGCAGCAGAGCCCGCAGUCUGGUCAGAUGAAGUCUGCUCACAGUCCCCUGAGGAUUCCAGGCUUAUCUGAACCUCCAUGCCUCUUCCCAGGUUGUUCCUAUGUUCUGCUCUGCCACCUGCUCAAAUCCAGUCCCUCUUUCAGUAACUGGCUCUGCCUUCUCUUCUUAUCUUGCUAUGCAGUAGUCCAUUUAUCUAAUGUCUGCCAAGCCCCUGGAGAUGGGAAUUCCUGUAGCCUCCAGUGCAAGGCAGAAUGUGAGAUGCACACACUGCUUCUUGGGUGAAUGGGCAGUGAUGGGCACUUGAAAUAAUGAGCCCUCUCUGGACAACUUAGUAUUAUGUCUUUCUUGGCCUGGUGUUCAUACACCCACUUUAUAGUGUAGUCUGGAGAUGUUUAAAGGGAUGGGGGAGGAUGAAGGCAGAUGCUUCAGAAAGAUUUCCAACAAGGCAGUGGUCAAGAGCAGGAUUGAAAUGGAACAGAUGCUAGAGGCAAAAACAAAACAAAUAAACAAGCAAGGAAAACAAGACAUUGGAUAUAACACACCUUGGAGAUGGAAGGUGAGUGUAUGGGUUAAGUAUCCUCUGAAAGUUCAUGUCUAUCUGAAACCUCAAACUGUGACCUUAUUUGGAAAUAGUGUCUUUGUAGAUAUAAUUAGUUGAGGUGAGGUGAGGUCAUAGUGAAUUGGAAUGGGCUCUAAAUCCAAUGAGUGGUGUCCUUAUGAGAAGAGCAGAGGACUCUUAGAGAUGUCGCGAGGAGCCUAGGAAUGCCAAGGGUUUCCAGGGGGCACCAGAAGCUGGGAUGAGGCGAGGAAGCGCUCUCUCCUAUAGCCGUAGGUCUGACGCCUUGAUUUGGGACUUCUGGCCUGAACUGUGAGAGAAUAAAUUUCUAUUGUUUUAAGCCAUCCACUUGUUGUGGAUGAAUGAAUAUAGUGUAUAAUUUCUGAUAUAUAUAUAUAUCAGAAAUUUAGGGGAUCUAAUGCGUGGAUGACUGUGUCUCUCUGUGUUUUUAGUACUGCAACCUUACUAUCUAAUUGUGAUAAGAAGUUUGCACUUGUCAUUUGUGAUGCAGUUUUGCAAAGAACUACCAAGGGCAAAUUGACUCUUGGAAGCUCCUGGUCAUCUGGAUGGAGGUGGCUGGCCCAUGAAGUAUGUGGGGCAUGGUGGGAAAUUGUGGGUAGCGUCAUCCUACAAGGCUCAGGAAAGAUAAAUCAGUUUGUUACCAUUUUUAUGCAGAAGAAAUAUGGCUAAAGUGGUCAUCAGAAAUAGAGGAUGGUGUGCUUGGGAAGAGGGCAGGGAGAGGGGGAUGGGGAACGUGUUAUGGCGAACUUGGGGCAUUGGUUUGCUUUGAUACAAGUAAGAAGGAGAGGGGAGAUGGUGCUGAACUACCCCCCCCCCCCCCCCCCCCCCCGGCUUUUGCAGUGACUGGGCCACUGGGAGUUCUGGCUGUUUUUCUCCGAAGCAGUGAGAAUACCACAAAGCAGAGGGUGGACAAGAGGCAGCUCUGCCCUUGGAGGACGUUCUUCCUCCUUCUCAGUGCUGAGAUGGAGAGGUGCAAAGGGGUGCACACUGCAGGCCUCCCCCAGUCACACCCAUGGUCAUUGUUCUGUUUGAGCAAGUCUGUCUCAUUUCUGAGCUUUGAUCUUCUCCCUUUUUUUUUUUUGGUAAUCCUCACAUGAUAUUUUUUCAUUGCUUUACAGAGAGAGUUGGAAGAGAGGGAGGAGAGAGAAGGAGAGAUAGUGAUUGAUUGAUAUGAGACACAUUGACUAGUUGCCUCCUGCAUGUGUCCCAACUGGGGUCAGAGAGUGAACCCCAACCCAGGUACAUGUCCUUGACUGGGGAUCGAACCCUCAACCCUUCGGUGCGUGGGCUGAUGCUCUAACUACUGACCCACACCGGCCAGGAUAGGUCUCUCUUUUACAAAAGGCAUCUGAGGUUUAUGUGAACACUGAGGAAGAACAUUUUGUGAAUCUUAGAAUGCUAUAUAUUAUUACAUUUUAGAGUCUUUCCCAGGAGACAGGUGGAGUCUUCAUUCUUUGGGGUGGCUCACAGACUGUGGGAAAAGUAAUGCAGGUUUUGGUUUGGGAAGAUGAAAAAGUUCAUCUUCCCAAGGAUGCACAACUAUGUGAAUGUACUUAAUGGCUCCGAAGUGUUCACUUAAAACGGGUUAAAAUGCUAAAUUUUAUGUUGUGUGUAUUUUACCACCAAAAGAAUCAUAAGCACCUCCCCACAACAAACGAAGUAGCAGAUACUGGACAAAGCUGGACUUCAAGUAAAUUUGACCCUUAGAUGUUACAGAGUGAUUAUUGCACUUGUGGCAAAUGCUCAUAUUUACAAUCAUUGUGAGGAAUUAGACCCAUUUACUAGGACUCAACAAACACCAUAUAUUAUUGUUAGUACUUUUGGAUGGCUCUAGAAAUUCCUUUGGGAGGGAAAUAGAUCGUAAUAAUUGGAAUUCCAAUAAACUGUAAAUUGUACUUAAUAACAUAUGAUCUGAGACCACUUUGCCAGCUCGUCCUCUGCCCCCAGGGUGAUGCUCCCUUCUCAGCACUGCUCUUUCUUCUUUCUUCCUUCCCUUUGGCUCCCAAUUUACGCUUUAUCCCAGGUCAGGGUAGAGACAGAUUUGCAUCUAUAGCACAGAAACACGUGCUGAGUCUCAGGUGGCCUCAUGCACCUUACCAAAAGCAUCGAUGAUAUCCUCUGGCCCAGACUUGGCUCCCAGAAGUGAGAGCUGUUUGCACACCUCCCAGAGCAUUUCAUUGUCUAGGCCUGUGGGCAUCCACAUCAAACCCUGACAGCUUCCCCUGUCUUACAACUUCACCCAUUCUUCCCUUUCUCCAGCUAUGAACGGCUUCUGAAGGUCAGAACCACAGGCAUCAGUGCUGCCAUAUAACCUUUUCAUUUCUGAGGAGUCCCCAGAGGCUGGAGGCCCAGAAAAUGACGGAAAGUGGUUGAAAGAUGGACAUCUUUUGGAUCGAGAAAUUGUUUGAUUUAAGCAUAAAAUAAGCUGUUUAAGGUUUCUUGUUCAAAUAUUGGAAGCUGUAUUGUGCCUCCUCUAAAUCCUAUCUGAAAAUAAUGUAGAACCCUACCUCCUGACGGCCCAUGGUGCUGGGUGGCUUGGAGUCAUGCGCAGAGCCAGGCCCUUCUCUCAGAUGUUCUGGCUGCCUGCGUUUGUGCCUUCAGGGCAGGCGGCCAGUCACUGAGAGGGAGCAGGGAUGGGAAAAUCAAUGUAUUCCUGUGGGCUUCUUCUUGUUGAAUUUUGCUCCACAGGUUGGAGGAUAAGUUCCAGUCCUCCUAACUAGGCCUUAAAGUCUGGGUGGACUGGAUGCUCACUGGAACCUGUGGAGUUUGUAAAACAAGGAGCUCACUGCCUCGCGUGGUCAGGAGAGGCAGGAGUAAGAGCAGGCGUGAAGGCCUGGGAGUUGGAAGGAAGUUGGGACUCAGCUCCUUGUGGCCCUUCCCUUUGAGAUUCACCAAAGGAAAAAGAGAUGUCUCCUUGCUGAGAGCAAAAUGGAACCUCCUUUCUGCACAUAAAGCCCUUCCCCACUGCAGGUUAUUCCAAAGGAGAAGAAGCAUGACUUCCAGAUGCCAUCGGAGGAAACCGGCCUGUCUAAUGGAGACGAGGACGGCUGAGCGCUUACGCGUGCAUGGACGCCUGUGCUGCAUCAAACAAUUCUUCAUGAUGAGAGAAGGUGCAUCAUGGAGAGAGCACCAGCACCUCUUUCUAGCACUCCAGUUCCCUAAUUCCUGCUGCUCCUGUGUCUGAAACCAUAGCACCCUCAUUGGACCACACCAGCAACAAAUGCAAACUGGCCACAGUCCUCUUAGAUGUAUUCAAAACACACCAUAGAGAAGACGACACUUGAAGAUGAGAAGGGUUAAAAAAAGAGCACUGUUCUCCUGGCAUGCUGGGAUGAGUGCCUGAAAGUGGAUGCUGGUCAGGUUCCAUGUGCAUAUCAGCUGGGUCCAGGAGGCACGUGGAAAACCUCUUUAUGGUGAGGAUGUGCCUGGGCAAUGGAAGCAUCCAGAAAGAGGAUCUUUUGUAGGACUUACUGAUGGGUGGUUGAUCACUCACACAGAGGGAAGGAACCGUGGACUCCAUGAUAAUGACUCUUCAGCCACCUUCUGUAUUUCUAGAGCAUUGAAAAUAGAACCACCAUGUAUGGCAUAUAGAAUGUCUUACAGAAAAAAGGUGUGGUAAAGUAUUUGUUUUGACAAGUUACCUUGCAAGUGAUGUGAAAGCAACUUGGAGAAAAAUAUCCUCAUCUAAUGCAUCCUGUAGCCUAAAUUUGUUGAUGUCAUAAAAAUAUUUUAAUAGAUUUUUAUAAGUUGGAUACACUCCAGGAGGUAGAUAAGCAAAAUAGAAUCUAAAACACGUAAUAGAUUCUAGAAUUAGAGCAGCAUAGGAAGUAAAAAGAAGUUAUAUAAAGAUAGGAGAAAUGUAUAAAUACUACAAAAGGACACUGAACUAUGUUAGGGCCUUUACUAAGGGAUUGAAAAAAUUGGGUAAGUCUAUAAAAGACACUGAGAGGCUUGAAAAAAACUAGGUAAAGGUAGAGUAGUGAUGUCCUUGUGGGAGUUUAAAACAAAAUAAAGAAGUUAUUCAAGAGAGUAAUUAUUGAGGAUCUCAAGUGUAAAGUGUAGUUUCACAGCUUAGGAAGAUAACUCAGUUCUGGAGCCCUUAUCUCUAUUCCAGACAUUGGUAGAGUUCUGGAUCUAUUUGAGAAGAUCCUAAGACAAUUUCAGAGGAUUUUGGCUGUAGAAGACAUACCAGUGACUGUCUUGAUGAGCUUGGCCCCUUUAAGUCAGAAGUGAUCACCUGUGGGCUGGGUUGACCUUGACCAUGGGCCUCAUAUUUUUUACUUACAGGCUGGCUCUCAGCCAACUUCCAAGCUCUGGGCUCCUCCUUCUAAGCUUCUCCGUACAUAGUCUUGUUCCUGGGCCACCUGACUGAUUUUUUAAUGCCUGAGGACUUGUUUCCAUCUCUGCACGCCCAAGUCUUGGCCAAGCUCCUAUUUCUGAAGACUUAGUUGCAACAUCUGCCCCUGCUGGGGAUGGUCGUAGCUUUCCUAGCUGACACACAGUCUGGCUCGAGUCCAGUCUCUUCUGUGGUUGUUCUGAGCAGCAGGAAGCACUGUCUUCUGGAUUCACUGCAGAACUUAAGUGUACAGUUGCUGCAUCCAGAUUGGACAGUGACUCUGGCUGAGAAAUCCCUUACUCCUGUUUCAGAUAAACUCCACUGGCAUUUAAAAUCUCAGUGCCCUCUGCCCCAUUUGUCCAGAGGAAAGUACAGUGGAACACUUCACCCAGAAAUGCAGAAGAAACACAUGGUUGGCUAGUGCUGCUGACUGAAUCUUGGCUCUCAAGCUCCAAGGCGGUAGUACAAAUGCAGAGGGCACUGCUGCUACAGCUGCCUGGCACAUCUGUAGACUAUGCAGCAUAUUUCAGCCUUCGGUGUUGGAGUGGUAUUUCCAAAUAUAGACUCAAAGGAUCCUCAGGUGCUCGCUUCUAGCAUAGAGCCAGGGGUCCUGUCUUGCACACGGGCCUGCAGCAUGGGGAGAGGACCGGUCUUCUGUGCCUCUUUCUUCAAACUCUUCUACCUUCAGGAGGCCAGAGAGGGAUGUGGGUCUACAUCUUGAAAUAUGUGCCUUGAACAAAAAUUACUAACCCGUAGAAAACUUGUCUGACUUUGAACGAAGUCUCAGUUUACAGACGCCUAUGGAAAUAUCAGAAUAAAGCAUCAGAAGAAACAGUCACAUUGGAGGCCAUUAACUAAGGGGAAAACCUGAAAAAUAAAGUUCUAUUUGCCAAAAACUGUC
Molecule: long non-coding RNA, 7952 nt
Organism: Myotis myotis
Lineage: Eukaryota; Metazoa; Chordata; Mammalia; Chiroptera; Vespertilionidae
Exons: 2
Source: RefSeq, a predicted model, not a curated record